Molecule: ribosomal RNA, 500 nt
Filed under: uncultured bacterium
Lineage: Bacteria
Description: bacterial SSU rRNA
Rfam family: Bacterial small subunit ribosomal RNA
Source: RNAcentral
AGAGUUUGAUCCUGGCUCAGAUUGAACGCUGGCGGCAUGCCUUACACAUGCAAGUCGAACGGUAACAGGUCUUCGGAUGGUGGCGAGUGGCGAACGGGUGAGUAAUACAUCGGAACGUGCCCAAUCGUGGGGAUAACGUAGCGAAAGUUACGCUAAUACCGCAUACGAUCUACGGAUGAAAGCGGGGGAUCGCAAGACCUCGCGCGAAUGGAGCGGCCGAUGUCAGAUUAGGUAGUUGGUGGGUAAAGGCUCACCAAGCCGACGAUCUGUAGCUGGUCUGAGAGGACGACCAGCCACACUGGGACUGAGACACGGCCCAGACUCCUACGGGAGGCAGCAGUGGGGAAUUUUGGACAAUUGGCGCAAGCCUGAUCCAGCCAUUCCGCGUGCAGGAUGAAGGCCUUCGGGUUGUAAACUGCUUUUGUACGGAACGAAACGGUUCUCUCUAAUACAGGGGGCUAAUGACGGUACCGUAAGAAUAAGCACCGGCUAACUACGUG